UUCACCAUCUCCAUAUAUUGUUAACGAAAAAAGUGGUUGUUGAUCUUAGAAGUUGAAGAAAAAGAGUGUGUAUUGUGUUAGUCUUGCAAGACAUAGAUCCAAGUUUCAAGGUGUAGUACUUGUGACUCAAAGACUUUUCCUAUACACUAAAGACUUUACAUCACUUCUCAACCACUUUCCCAUGAAACAAGGGUCCAUGUUUUAAGGAAAAGUACUACAAAAGUCAAGUCUUGAAAUGUGAAAUUUGAAAAAAAGGCUCCAAGACUUAUU
RNAcentral lists this long non-coding RNA (270 nucleotides) under Capsicum annuum. RNAcentral's name for it is "long non-coding RNA (CANN_LNC020920)". Lineage: Eukaryota; Viridiplantae; Streptophyta; Magnoliopsida; Solanales; Solanaceae. The record is from RNAcentral.